This is a long non-coding RNA of Vidua chalybeata, 1100 nucleotides long. RefSeq lists it as uncharacterized. The transcript has 2 exons. The record is from RefSeq and is a predicted model, not a curated record. NCBI's taxonomy places the organism in Eukaryota, Metazoa, Chordata, Aves, Passeriformes, Viduidae.
ACCGGACGUGGGGGGGGGGGGGGGAAAUAACGAUGAAAAAACGUGUAUAACAGCGAAUCGGAGUGUUAAACGGCUCUGAGUCGAGCUGUCUCUCAGUUAAGGGAAGAUGUUAAAAAACGCCAAGCGAACCCCGGCCACAGAAAAAAGAAACAGAAGAGAUGCAAGAGGAAGACAUCAAUAAGUACAGAGAAAAUUGCCUGCGGGUGCUGGUGCCAGCGGCUGGGCAUGAGCCCAGGGUGCCCAGACCUUUCUGGAAAUGAGUUGGAGGACUUCAAGGGUUUCUGGUGAUCUUGAUUCCCUGAUCUUGGCUUCAUUGCUGUGCUGUGUUUGUCUCCAGGAACUAGAACAAGGAUAUUUGUCCCAGAAAAAUGCUGCCCUAUCUCUGAAUGGCACCUUCUCCUGUUCUUCCUCACAGCUGUGUUUUUACCAACAAACCUUGAUUCUUGUUACCAACAAUCCUUGGUUGGCUCCACAGUUAUCCAGCUAUUGGUGUUUGAGGCAUGCAACCUCUUAUCUUCUGGGCUUCUGUACUUGGGGCAACCAGAUUUAAUCCAUGAAACAGAUAGCAGCUAACAAGCAAGCUCUGAGUAAUGUCCAUGUGUUAAGAGAAAACAAAUUAUUUGUUGGUGGAAUUGCCUUGUCAAGCUUGAUAUGCUUCAAUGAUCUCAGAUGUAGGGGGAGGUUAACAAAGCUUGGGAAGAAAGGAUAUACGACUGAUAGUGGGCACAGAGAAUGCAGAGUUUACAGGCCACAAGAACAUGUGCUUGAACUUCCAAGACGGGGAAGAAACUAAUAAAGUGAACCCCGCAUCUGUGCUGAAAUCAGUUCUGACUGGGAAAACAGUAAUUCUGGCAGGGGGAAUCUGUGACAACUGACCCAAGAAACCCACCAACCCAAGAGAAGAGAAAGACUGGGCAUGAGAAACAAUAGAAUCAUUAACCAAAAGAAUACUAAUUAAUAAGAGAACUAUGUAGCACGUAACCAGUGAAUGCUAGUUCCUUUGUAUGCUAAAAUGUAUACAUUGUGAAGCUUUCUUAUUGUUCUGGAAUACCACUGAACACCCAGUCUUGCACAAUACUGCAAUAAAUAAUCAAUGCCUC